RNAcentral lists this ribosomal RNA (253 nucleotides) under uncultured bacterium. Its description in RNAcentral is "partial 16S ribosomal RNA". It matches the Rfam family "Bacterial small subunit ribosomal RNA", at positions 524 to 776 of the family's 1533-position model. The record is from RNAcentral.
UACGUAGGGGGCAAGCGUUGUCCGGAAUUAUUGGGCGUAAAGAGCUCGUAGGCGGCUUGUCGCGUCGUCCGUGAAAACCUGCAGCUCAACUGCAGGCUUGCGGUCGAUACGGGCAGGCUAGAGUUCGGUAGGGGAGACUGGAAUUCCUGGUGUAGCGGUGAAAUGCGCAGAUAUCAGGAGGAACACCGGUGGCGAAGGCGGGUCCCUGGGCCGAUACUGACGCUGAGGAGCGAAAGCGUGGGGAGCGAACAGG